RNAcentral lists this ribosomal RNA (274 nucleotides) under uncultured bacterium. RNAcentral describes it as "partial 16S ribosomal RNA". It matches the Rfam family "Archaeal small subunit ribosomal RNA", at positions 473 to 747 of the family's 1478-position model. The record is from RNAcentral.
AAACCAGCACCUCAAGUGGUCAGGAUGAUUAUUGGGCCUAAAGCAUCCGUAGCCGGCUCAGUAAGUUUUCGGUUAAAUCUGUACGCUCAACGUACAGGCUGCCGGGAAUACUGCAGAGCUAGGGAGUGGGAGAGGUAGACGGUACUCGGGAGGAAGUGGUAAAAUGCUUUGAUCUCUCGAUGACCACCUGUGGCGAAGGCGGUCUACCAGAACACGUUCGACGGUGAGGGAUGAAAGCUGGGGGAGCAAACCGGAUUAGAAACCCCAGUAGUCC